UACCGGCGGCUCGAGUGGUGGCCACUAUUACUGGGCUUAAAGCGUCCGUAGCUGGGUUGUUAAGUCUCCUGGGAAAUCUGCCGGCUCAACCGUCAGGCGUUCAGGAGAUACUGGCAAUCUCGGGACCGGGGGAGGUGAGAGGUACUCCGGGGGUAGGAGUGAAAUCCUGUAAUCCUCGGGGGACCACCUGUGGCGAAGGCGUCUCACCAGAACGGCUCCGACAGUGAGGGACGAAAGCUGGGGGAGCAAA
Molecule: ribosomal RNA, 250 nt
Filed under: uncultured bacterium
Lineage: Bacteria
Description: partial 16S ribosomal RNA
Rfam family: Archaeal small subunit ribosomal RNA
Source: RNAcentral